UUUUUAAAACGCAGAUCUUCGAACCUUGAAACGCACGCAUAGUUUCCUCGCUCAGAUAUAAUCUAAACCAAAUACACAGAGAGAAAGACAGGGAAGAGGAAAUGGCCAUGGCGAGGGCAAGCUCUGGCCUCGCGUACCCCGAACGAUUCUAUGCAGCGGCGGCAUACGCUGGAUUUGACGGAUCUCCUAAUUCAGCCAAUAGCGUCUCCUCUAAGUUCCAAAACGACACCGCUUUGCUCCUCUACGCUUUGUACCAGCAGGCAACUGUCGGACCUUGUAAUACACCAAAACCGAGCACUUGGAAUGCUGUAGAACAAAGCAAAUGGAAGAGCUGGUAUGGGCUUGCCAGCAUGCCUCCCGCAGAAGCAAUGCGUCUCUUUGUGAAGAUAUUGGAGGAAGAAGACCCAGGUUGGUAUUCUAGAGCAUCUAACUUUGUUUCUGAGCCUGUUUUAGACAUCCAAACGAAUCAUAACCCAAAAGUUGAGCAUGUUGUCGAGAAUGGAAACUCUUCCCCAGAGACAAAGACUAUUUCCAGUGAGAAUGGGAGUGUUAUAGAACCUCAGGAUAAAGAUGUUGUCUCGGAAGGCUUUGGUUCAGUCAUUGUUUAUGAUCAAUGGAUUGCCCCUCCAAUAUCUGGCCAACGCCCA
RNAcentral lists this unclassified non-coding RNA (647 nucleotides) under Hevea brasiliensis (rubber tree). Lineage: Eukaryota; Viridiplantae; Streptophyta; Magnoliopsida; Malpighiales; Euphorbiaceae. The record is from RNAcentral.